This 195-nucleotide ribosomal RNA is filed under the name Triticum aestivum (bread wheat). RNAcentral describes it as "partial small subunit ribosomal RNA". Lineage: Eukaryota; Viridiplantae; Streptophyta; Magnoliopsida; Poales; Poaceae. The record is from RNAcentral.
AUGCCAAACCGUCAAGCCAAAGCCUCCCUCAUCAUGCUUGUGACGUGGAUAAUUUGGAAUGAGCGAAAUGCAAAAGUGUUUAGGUUUAAAAGCGCUCCGCCAACUAUUUUGCUUAACACCAUCUUGACCAAUGCCAACCCUUGGGUCACCGCCGGUGCAAAAAAAUUAGGGUCUUUCAUUUCGCGAGAGAAAUAA